This 470-nucleotide ribosomal RNA is filed under the name uncultured bacterium. RNAcentral describes it as "bacterial SSU rRNA". It matches the Rfam family "Bacterial small subunit ribosomal RNA", at positions 28 to 515 of the family's 1533-position model. The record is from RNAcentral.
GACGAACGCUGGCGGCGUGCUUAACACAUGCAAGUCGAACGGUGAAGCCCUUCGGGGUGGAUCAGUGGCGAACGGGUGAGUAACACGUGAGCAACCUGCCCUUGGCUCUGGGAUAACUCCGGGAAACCGGUGCUAAUACUGGAUAUUCACGCUUUACCGCAUGGUGGGGUGUGGAAAGUUUUUCGGCCAGGGAUGGGCUCGCGGCCUAUCAGCUUGUUGGUGGGGUGAUGGCCUACCAAGGCGACGACGGGUAGCCGGCCUGAGAGGGCGACCGGCCACACUGGGACUGAGACACGGCCCAGACUCCUACGGGAGGCAGCAGUGGGGAAUAUUGCGCAAUGGGCGAAAGCCUGACGCAGCGACGCCGCGUGAGGGAUGAAGGCCUUCGGGUUGUAAACCUCUUUCAGCAGGGAAGAAGCGCAAGUGACGGUACCUGCAGAAGAAGCACCGGCUAACUACGUGCCAGCCGC